This is a microRNA precursor of Anolis carolinensis (green anole), 72 nucleotides long. The record is from Ensembl. Lineage: Eukaryota; Metazoa; Chordata; Lepidosauria; Squamata; Anolidae.
AGAGUGUCCGCACAACCAGCAAGAAGAUGGGAAGAUCUAGCCACUCCUUCUUGUUGGUCAUGUUGGCAUACA